AGGUUCAAUUCUAUGGAUCCAUGAUGGCAGCAAAACGUCACCAAACUAUGACGCUUCCAGCUCUGUUCUUCACAGCAGAUUGUAUCAUUGAUCAAGUUGACAUCAUGAAAUGAAGUAAAGGUGAAAAGUUGGGAAAUCUUGUAGCAGCAGCUGAUGGGUUUGGUGAAAAAGAGCGACAUCUUGUGUUGAGUAAAGUUUGUACCAUGGAUCAAGUUGAUGUCGGAGAGUUGGAAGAGUCUGCAGCAGCUCUGAGUUUG
Long non-coding RNA from Xiphophorus couchianus (Monterrey platyfish), 257 nucleotides. RefSeq lists it as uncharacterized. NCBI's taxonomy places the organism in Eukaryota, Metazoa, Chordata, Actinopteri, Cyprinodontiformes, Poeciliidae. The record is from RefSeq and is a predicted model, not a curated record. The transcript is spliced from 3 exons.